UUUGAUUCACCAAAUAUUAGAAUGUUAAACUAGAGACAAGUGAUUUCAAAUGCAUUUUGCUGACCACUGUUGCAGUUGCCAAUCUCUGUGUAAAUAUAUCUCUGAUUAAUUUUCGACUUAUCAAUUCAUGAAAUAAAGCAUGAUGUAUAUAUUCAUUACAUAUUGGUAGUUGACUUUAGAGUAUCUUCGUAAUUAGUUUGUUUGUUAAUCAUAUGCUGAGAAAGCCUGACUUAUUACUUAUUAAGUCUGUAUAAUGUAACAUA
This 263-nucleotide long non-coding RNA is filed under the name Mytilus galloprovincialis (Mediterranean mussel). The record is from RNAcentral. Lineage: Eukaryota; Metazoa; Mollusca; Bivalvia; Mytilida; Mytilidae.